This is a non-coding RNA of Schistosoma haematobium, 45 nucleotides long. The record is from Rfam. Lineage: Eukaryota; Metazoa; Platyhelminthes; Trematoda; Strigeidida; Schistosomatidae.
AUCCAACUGACGAGUCCUAAAUAGGACGAAACGUGCGUCCUGGAU